UAAACAUUUCUCAAAAAUCUUUGGCAACGCAAGCUUACUGGCCUCCUCCCUCAUUUCCUUCUACCUCUUCCUACGUGCUUCCCUAAGCACCAGAGGCUAAUCAGUGCGUGAGGCU
Long non-coding RNA from Sinocyclocheilus anshuiensis, 115 nucleotides. RefSeq lists it as uncharacterized. The record is from RefSeq and is a predicted model, not a curated record. NCBI's taxonomy places the organism in Eukaryota, Metazoa, Chordata, Actinopteri, Cypriniformes, Cyprinidae. The transcript has 4 exons.